AAAAAAAAAAUAAAAAAAAAUACAGAGCACUUGAGGAAGAAGGAUUAUACUUGUAAUUACGUACAGUAUACAUUUGGCUAGUUUGCAGCUUCAUGUAUUCAAAUAUUAAAUAGGUUUGGUAAGUCCAUCCCGAUCAAAAUUGAAAUAUUUUGUUUGAUAUGAGUUGUUUGAUGAAAGAAUCAACCUUGUUCUUUUGUAACACCAAUGAAAUUUCAUGACAUCUUUCUUUAUAGUCAAUAUUAGAGGAUAGUUUAAU
Molecule: unclassified non-coding RNA, 256 nt
Filed under: Hevea brasiliensis (rubber tree)
Lineage: Eukaryota; Viridiplantae; Streptophyta; Magnoliopsida; Malpighiales; Euphorbiaceae
Source: RNAcentral